This 603-nucleotide long non-coding RNA is filed under the name Citrus x clementina. RNAcentral's name for it is "Citrus clementina (C. clementina) long non-coding RNA (CCLE_LNC001917)". The record is from RNAcentral. Lineage: Eukaryota; Viridiplantae; Streptophyta; Magnoliopsida; Sapindales; Rutaceae.
CUCCAUCAUGGCAAGAUGCUCUAAAUUCUCGUGCGUUUGAAAAAGAGCCUCGCCCUAUCCACAAAUAUAUUAAAAAAGAAGAAAAGGAAAAUACAAAUCAAAACUCAUAGGCGUGUGUGAAAGCAUUCAUUCCACCAUUAAUACGCAUUUGGGCAAACAUAUAGGCAGAUCCAUGAAAUAGUAGCAGAUCUGGUAACCAAACUGUUAAACCAUCAAAUGAGUACAAGAUAAGUGAAAGUAAACUUAACAUGGGACAAACAGUACACUAACACAAACAUAUUAGCAAAUAUAUUAAAAAAGAAGAAAAGGAAAAUACAAAUCAAAACUCAUAGGCAUGUGUGAAAGCAUUCAUUCCACCAUCAAUACGCAUUUGGGCAAACAUAUAGGCAGAUCCAUGAAAUAGUAGCAGAUCUGGUAACCAAACUGUUAAACCAUCAAAUGAGUACCAGAUAAGUGACAGUAAAAUUAACAUGGGACAAACAGUACACUAACACAAACACCAUUAGAUAUGAUGUGUGAACAAUUAUUAAACUUACCAAAUUAAUAAGAAUACUAAUAAAUGCUUCAAGCAAAAGGUGUUAGGUAACAGUUACUUACGGAGCA